UACGGGGGGGGCAAGCGUUGUUCGGAAUUACUGGGCGUAAAGGGCUCGUAGGCGGCCCGCUAAGUCAGACGUGAAAUCCCUCGGCUUAACCGGGGAACUGCGUCUGAUACUGGUGGGCUGGAAUCCGGGAGAGGGACGUGGAAUUCCAGGUGUAGCGGUGAAAUGCGUAGAUAUCUGGAGGAACACCGGUGGCGAAGGCGGCGUCCUGGACCGGUAUUGACGCUGAGGAGCGAAAGCCAGGGGAGCAAACGGG
Molecule: ribosomal RNA, 253 nt
Filed under: uncultured bacterium
Lineage: Bacteria
Description: partial 16S ribosomal RNA
Rfam family: Bacterial small subunit ribosomal RNA
Source: RNAcentral